UUAAUAGCGCCUCUCUCUCUCUCUCUCUCUUUAGCGUCCUUCUCCCUCACCGUCGCUUCUCUCCCCUCCACUCUCACCGCCAUUUUCUUUUCUUGAUCAGUGUGUUUAGAAUUGCAGAGAAGCUUCGAUUUCGAGUAAAAUGGCGAUGGUAGUGGCACAUUAGCACAGAGAGAGUAGCAGUGAUAGCAUGAACAGGCAUCUCGAUGCCGGAAAAUAUGUCUGGUACACUGGCGAGCAAGUGGAAGCCCUCGAAAGGGUUUAUGUCGAGUGUCCGAAGCCGAGCUCUUUGCAUCGACAGCAAUUGAUCCGCGACUGUCCCAUUUUGUCUAACAUCGAACCCAAGCAGAUCAAAGUCUGGUUUCAAAAUCGCAGGUGUCAAGAGAAGCAACGAAAAGAGGCUUCUCGGCUGCAGACUGUGAACAGGAAAAUGACAGCGAUGAACAAGCUGUUGAUGGAGGAGAAUGAUCGGUUGUAGAAACAGGUGUCACAGUUGGUAUGCGAGAAUGGUUUUAUGCGGUAACAACUGCACACUGCGUCGGCAACUACUGAUGCAAGCUGUGAGUCUAUGGUAACCACUACUCAGCAUUCUAUGAGAGAUGCUAAUAAUCCUGCUGGGUAACCCUCCAACAUCAAUGACAUCACCCGCUCCUCUCUGCAAUUCUAAACACAUUUGAAUAGAAAUAAGAAUUCUGUUUUAUGGAAAAUGGUUGCAAUUGUAUUGGUUAGGUUAUUUUCACACAUUUUUAAGGUUUUUAAAAUUCAGGAAAUGUGCCUGUAAAAUUCUGUGAACAUGUUUUUGGGGAAAAUUAGUCUAUUCAUGAAAUUUUUAUGUUAUCAGUGGUCCCAGAACAAUGUAAUUUAUGUUAAUACCCGCUUUGUUGCUGCUACAAAAUGAUUUGGUAAUUCAAUUUUUAAGGGCAAGUGCACUGUUGCAAUUGCUGAUUUUUCAAUGCUAUAUGGUUAUGUGAAAAUGUUUUAUAAAGAUUAGUUUAUAAUUAUUAGCUAGCUGGUGGAGUCAUUUGCAUUGGAGUUGGAGACUUGAAUACUUGAAUUAUUUUUUUUGGUAGUUUUUAAUUCUGUAAUAUUUUAAUUAAUUUUUUUUUUUUAAGAUGGCAUAUUCUGGUGCUGUAUAACCCCUGUUGCAUGAGAAAGUAGUUAGUUAUCAUUCAAUGGUUUCAAAUAUUGUACUAGAAGUACUAGAGUUGUUACAUGAAAACAUAUCACUGGUUUAAUUUCAAUUAGGAAUCAAAAUAGCCUCUAAUACAAUCCAUUCUUAAUUGUUGCAUAAAUGUGGGUUGAAUACUUUCACACAACAGGUAAACUGAAAGAGAUGAAGGUAAAAAAUGAAUAAGUGCUGUCAAAGGAAGAGCCACAAGUAGAGAAGGCUGGUGCAGUUGAUCAAAUUAAGAAAAAAUAUGGAUUUACUAUGUUUGGUGUAAGUAUGCAUCCAAUAGAUUUAUGUCUAAUCAUCUGUUGUGCACUCCAUCACUGAACAUUUUGUUUGAGUUGGUUAAUUAGUUAUAUAUUUGAAUGGGUCUAAUACUGAUCUGAACAUUCAAAAUCUGACCAAGACAUCACCUUUUGUUUUGAACAUUUAAAAAAAAGAAUUACGGUGAAUAAUUUUGGUCAUGAUUGUGGAAAUGUGAGCCAUAUUGAUUGUCAUAAUGUUUAAGAUGGUUGUAAUGCAUUGUGCUGGAAUUUUUGUGAGCCAUGUUUAAGAUGUGAGCCAUAUGAAAGGACUGGAAUUUUUAUUGGAUAUAAGAUAAGAUCCACUACUUUUAAGCUUUAUAUUUAGGUUUAAUUUCAUAUACAAUGUUCCAGUAGGAGGCAUUAUUUCCAUCUUUGGGUGCAGGAUUCUAGUGCUGCAAAGAAGGCACAAAGCAAAUUGGGCGAAAAUGUGAAGAAGUUGCAGGUUUAGACUCUCAAUAUAUAGGAAUUGGGUUAAAAUUUUAUAUUAAACUUGUUUGGCUGUAAAAUUGAAACAACUUGAAAUCUACAAAAAAAAAAAUUUCUUGAUGAAAUUGGUUUCUCACUUCUAGAAGAGAGAACUCUUUUCUUUUUAUUACAAAAAUCUGAGGUUGAAGCAUCAAUAGGUUUAGUACCGCUAUUGCAUUUGAGGCUGAAGAUGUCAACUAAGCAGUGUCUGCUGCUCGCAAAGCAUUCGACCAAGGACCAUGGCCAAAGAUGACUGCUUAUGUAAGAAUAUCACACAUUGAUCAUUUGCUUUGUACUUUCAAGAAAGAUCACGAAUAAUGUUGCGGUUUGCUGAUUUGCUUGAGAAGCACAGUGAUCAUAUUGCGGCUCUUGAAACUUGGGAUAAUGGGAAGCCUUAUGAACAGGCUGCAAAUGAAGAAAUACCAUUGGUGUGGUAAAUAUAAGCUAAUUUGGUAUGGUAGAAUUCAGUAUAUAUGCUAAUUUAGGUUGUUGUACAUAUGUCCUUUUUGUUAAUUAAUAAGGUUAGUCCUAUAUUAUGUAUGAAAUGAAAUUAUUGACGUUGGAUUAGACUUGGUUCGUAUGGAAUUUGUAUUAUAUAUAGAAUUGGACGUUCAAUAUUAAUGUUUUGGAUGGUUUGAGCUAAAA
This is an RNA transcript of Camellia sinensis, 2580 nucleotides long. RefSeq lists it as uncharacterized. NCBI's taxonomy places the organism in Eukaryota, Viridiplantae, Streptophyta, Magnoliopsida, Ericales, Theaceae. The record is from RefSeq and is a predicted model, not a curated record.